Vicugna pacos (alpaca) is the source of this 88-nucleotide non-coding RNA. Lineage: Eukaryota; Metazoa; Chordata; Mammalia; Artiodactyla; Camelidae. The record is from RefSeq and is a predicted model, not a curated record.
UUUGGAUUCACUUUCAGGAUCAAGGACCCUGGUCCUUGUCUAAAAUUCCUCACCUCUAUAAAUGUCACCAUCAGAGAUGGGAAGAGCA